Non-coding RNA from Equus caballus (horse), 1585 nucleotides. The record is from RefSeq and is a predicted model, not a curated record. Lineage: Eukaryota; Metazoa; Chordata; Mammalia; Perissodactyla; Equidae.
AACUUCUGGGGCAGAAAAAGAAACUGCCCUUGUUCUCAAAUCACUUCUAGAUCUGACGACCCUGGUAAACAGGAGACGAAUACCUAAAGCAGGCUUUCAGCACCAAGAAGGAAGGAAAGGGACAAACUGGGCCUAAUUCCUAAGUCUCCAGAAUGGGGGAAGCGGAGGAAGCCUUGAUGCGGGGAGGGACCCGGAUCCGGCCUAAACCAGCGCCUGCCGGGUCAAGACCAGUGAGGAGCCCGUGGAGAAAGGAGCGGGAGUGGGGGCGCGAGGGCGAGCGGGGACCGAGAGCCCCGGGGCGAGAAGCCAUUUGUCCGGAUGGGCAGAGGAGACUGGCGAGGUGUAAACGGUGAGGCCGGCGUGAGAGGACAGCAGUCGCCUUUGAGUCUUGCUCUACGAGAUUGUUAUCACAGAUCUAGCAAGAGGGCUGGUGGCUUUUAGUCACUGUAUCAAAUCUAUUCUACUCCUCCUGAUGAAGCUUGGAUGAAUACGUCCUCAUGGAAAGAACCGUCAAGGAGGGCAGCGACACUGCAGCGGGACCCGGCUCCCAGCAUGGGCAGGAGCAGCAGAGUGGAAGCGACUCCUGGUGCGCCCAGAUCGAGAGCUCUGUGACAGCCCCACGGACUUUCCACAGCCCAGGAGCAACAUGGGAGGGGGCAGGAUUUCCUCCAGGCCCUUAGAAAGGGGCACAGAAGCAGGAGAAAAGAAUCAGAUCUGUACAGGCCUUGCCUGGGGAGUGAGCAAGUGCAGCCGCAAAGGGGCAUGGGGCAGCGACCAAGAACGGGACGGUAUGAUACAGACCUGGGAGGCUGGUGUGGACAGAUGACCUGGCUCAGAGGCCCUUCUCUCCACUCCCUGCAGCCUCCCCUUAUCCAGAAUGGGGACACAAUCCCCAGGGAUAGAAAACUAUCCCGCGGUAACAGAAAUUGUCAGCCACCAAGCAGAAUGAGGAUUUGAAAUGGAAAUGACAUUGAUUUAAACAAAAAAGUAACGUUUCUUACACACUCGGGCUGUGUUCUGAGAUUCUUGCGUUCUCAGGUGAGCAAGGUCAAAACUGAUGGUCAGAGGUAGCGAGCCCUUUAGACUGGUCGUGAUACACCCUGACCUCUAGGGGGCAGUCGAAGCUCCGCCCACCUGACUCAUCCCGAGGAGGAAAGGAAAGUUGAUCAGGGUCUUCAGGGAAGGGCCAAGAGGGCCAGAUUUCAGAUGAAGGAACAAAGGGAUCGUGAAUCGACCUGGAGCACAUGGAAACCCCCCCUUGCAUUGUUUCUCUCCGCACAGAAUCCCAAACAUCUGAGCCCCUGAUGUAGGGAGGUGGGGUCCACAGAUAGUUGAGAAACAACCUCUUCCCGCCCUCCGCUCCCCUGGAGUGAGGGCUUAGGCAGGGCUGCCCUCAGCCUCCCUGAGAAGCUGGGCCUCUCUUGUUUGGUCACUUUGUGGGGGCUGGAGUCUUCCUCUUGCCUUCAGGGGCCCUCGGGGCUAAGGCUGGGCAUGGACUCAGCGCCAACGGGUGAGGAGGCCAGGCAGGGGCCUCCAGUAGGUGUUUCAUGAACAGGGCAGAGAAAAUGCAAAUAUCUACAGUAAA